This 397-nucleotide long non-coding RNA is filed under the name Musa acuminata (dwarf banana). RNAcentral's name for it is "long non-coding RNA (MACU_LNC011815)". The record is from RNAcentral. Lineage: Eukaryota; Viridiplantae; Streptophyta; Magnoliopsida; Zingiberales; Musaceae.
ACCCCUAUACACUUUUUCAGCUAUAAUUUUUAGUACAAAAUGUGAAUUCAGGCAGGAACUAUUUUGUUUAAAAUUAGACUCUUAUAACUUUCUUUUGAUACUGAUUUUGUAGAUUUUGGACACCGAAUACUUACCCAAUCAUCUGUUUCAAAUGAGCCUAUAGAUGCUGCAAAAUAGGGAUCAAGAUUUCUGACCUUUCGAUACUAAAAUGCCUAUAACUCUCUGUUGAAAACUCUGAUUUGUACUAAACUGAAUUUUCCGAAACUAGACUUACAGACCUUUCUUUUGACAUAUAUUUUGAAAAUUUUGGAAUUCAAAUGCCUACCCUAUUAUCUGUUGAAUCCGACCCUAUGUAUUCUGCAAAACAGUGAUUGUGUCCUUGACCUUGUGUUACCAA